CUCCAGUUCCAUCGCCGCCGCCUCCUCCACCCCUGCCGGCCAUCGCACCCCCAUCCCCUCCGCCGGCCACCAUGCCACCAUCUCCUCCACCUCCAUUGGCAACCGCGCCCCUAUCCCCUCCACCACCUCCGCCGGCAGCCACGCCCCACCCCCUCCACCUCCGCCUGCCGUCGCGCCCCCAUCCCUUCGCCGGCCGUCGCACCCCCAUCCCCUCCACCACCUCUGCCGACCACAGUGCCCCCGUCUCCUCCACCUCCGCAGGCCGCCGCACCCCUAUCCCCUCCACCACCUUUGUCGGCCGCCGCACCACCAUCUCCUCUUCCACCGCGCCCCCAUCUCCUCACUAACCCUUUCUGUGACUUCCAUGCCCCUUUACCGUAGCCAUUGCCACCAUCUCCUCCGCCCCCCGCCCAUCCCCUCCUCCGCCACACUCCGUCGCAACACAUCCCCUCUACUGCCGACAUCCCCCCUACCCAUCAUCCAUCCGAUCUCCUUCUCAAGCUCAUGACCACACGGGUAAACUAGGUGUCCGCGCCGAUGGCAGCUCACCUCCCCGGGGGCCUCCCCCGCCCCAGAUCCCACUUGAGCAUCUUCUUCGUUGGAUCCGGAUCCAUGGUGGCGGCAGAGGCUUACCUACCUUGGCGAUGACUACAGGAUCUAUCGACUUGGAGGUUGGAGCGAUGAUUUGCAUUUAGGAAGCUUCUGAUUAACCUGCGGAUUUCCCAAUGGUGUGCAUGCUUGAGGCUUGUCUAUAUCAGAUUCAGUCUCUACUUCGACAUGCAUGGGCUGUAGGUUGUAGGGUACAUCAAAAUUUUGCAUGUAGGACCUGAAUGCACUAAAAAAUAAAUCGGGAUUAUUGUUACCUAUUAAGGCUCGAUUACUGAUACCUGUUCAGCCGUAGUGGUUGAAGUAAUUUACUGAAGAUUGCUACAAUGCUACCAUAUUAUUGAGACUGUAGUGAUCGCGCUCUGCGAGGAAGUCCUGAAGAGAAGGAUGUAAGAAAAGAAGUCGAGUAGUGAUUGUGCAUUGCAGAUAUGAAUUGCAAACUACAAAGAGGGUUGUGCACCAGAAAAAUGGAGCUAGGCUCGAGACUUCUGGGUGCUAAAGGACUUUCACUUGUUUAUGUUUGUUUUGAUCAGUAAACAUAUGAUUGUAUUUGGACAUGUGGUUAGGUUUGGGUGUAAUUUUUGGCUAUAAGUCUGUAUUGGAUGUCCAUAGGUUGUAUUGGAUAUUAACUGGGCUAUAUUUGUAUGUGCUGCUAUUUGGUACAAUGCUUCAGCCUAUAUGGUCUUGGCCCAUUUGUUAUUUGUUUUUAAUGCAAAUGGAUAUAAUACAAUUGGGCUGAAAAUAUCAUGUAUUGCUAUGUUAUAGAUGGGCCUGGGGCCUUUGAUUGGACUUAGCCCAUUUAGCCCAUAAAUGGGUUGCUCAAUCAUGGGCUUUGAUAGGUCAAAAGAUAUUUUAUGAUGAAUAAAAUUGUCAUAAU
Molecule: long non-coding RNA, 1483 nt
Organism: Oryza brachyantha (malo sina)
Lineage: Eukaryota; Viridiplantae; Streptophyta; Magnoliopsida; Poales; Poaceae
Exons: 5
Source: RefSeq, a predicted model, not a curated record